AGCGAAACGGGAAGAGCCCAAACCAACAAGCUUGCUUGUUGGGGUUGUAGGACACUCUAUACGGAGUUACAAAGGACGACAUUAGACGAAUCAUCUGGAAAGAUGAAUCAAAGAAGGUAAUAAUCCUGUAGUCGAAAAUGUUGUCUCUCUUGAGUGGAUCCUGAGUACGACGGAGCACGUGAAAUUCCGUCGGAAUCUGGGAGGACCAUCUCCUAAGGCUAAAUACUCUCUAGUGACCGAUAGUGAACCAGUACCGUGAGGGAAAGGUGAAAAGCACCCCGGAAGGGGAGUGAAAUAGAACCUGAAACCGUGUGCUUACAAGUAGUCAGAGCCCGUUAAUGGGUGAUGGCGUGCCUUUUGUAGAAUGAACCGGCGAGUUACGAUUUGAUGCAAGGUUAAGCAGUAAAUGUGGAGCCGUAGCGAAAGCGAGUCUGAAUAGGGCGUUUAGUAUUUGGUCGUAGACCCGAAACCAGGUGAUCUACCCUUGGUCAGGUUGAAGUUCAGGUAACACUGAAUGGAGGACCGAACCGACUUACGUUGAAAAGUGAGCGGAUGAACUGAGGGUAGCGGAGAAAUUCCAAUCGAACCUGGAGAUAGCUGGUUCUCUCCGAAAUAGCUUUAGGGCUAGCCUCAAGUGAUGAUUAUUGGAGGUAGAGCACUGUUUGGACGAGGGGCCCCUCUCGGGUUACCGAAUUCAGACAAACUCCGAAUGCCAAUUAAUUUAACUUGGGAGUCAGAACAUGGGUGAUAAGGUCCGUGUUCGAAAGGGAAACAGCCCAGACCACCAGCUAAGGUCCCAAAAUAUAUGUUAAGUGGAAAAGGAUGUGGCGUUGCCCAGACAACUAGGAUGUUGGCUUAGAAGCAGCCAUCAUUUAAAGAGUGCGUAAUAGCUCACUAGUCGAGUGACACUGCGCCGAAAAUGUACCGGGGCUAAACAUAUUACCGAAGCUGUGGAUUGUCCUUUGGACAAUGGUAGGAGAGCGUUCUAAGGGCGUUGAAGCAUGAUCGUAAGGACAUGUGGAGCGCUUAGAAGUGAGAAUGCCGGUGUGAGUAGCGAAAGACGGGUGAGAAUCCCGUCCACCGAUUGACUAAGGUUUCCAGAGGAAGGCUCGUCCGCUCUGGGUUAGUCGGGUCCUAAGCUGAGGCCGACAGGCGUAGGCGAUGGAUAACAGGUUGAUAUUCCUGUACCACCUAUA
This 1196-nucleotide ribosomal RNA is filed under the name Staphylococcus aureus. RNAcentral's name for it is "partial 23S ribosomal RNA". It matches the Rfam family "Bacterial large subunit ribosomal RNA", at positions 252 to 1452 of the family's 2925-position model. Lineage: Bacteria; Bacillati; Bacillota; Bacilli; Caryophanales; Staphylococcaceae. The record is from RNAcentral.